Molecule: ribosomal RNA, 466 nt
Filed under: Rothia dentocariosa
Lineage: Bacteria; Bacillati; Actinomycetota; Actinomycetes; Micrococcales; Micrococcaceae
Description: bacterial SSU rRNA
Rfam family: Bacterial small subunit ribosomal RNA
Source: RNAcentral
GACGAACGCUGGCGGCGUGCUUAACACAUGCAAGUCGAACGAUGAAGCCUAGCUUGCUAGGUGGAUUAGUGGCGAACGGGUGAGUAAUACGUGAGUGACCUACCUUUGACUCUGGGAUAAGCCUGGGAAACUGGGUCUAAUACCGGAUACGACCAAUCUCCGCAUGGGGUGUUGGUGGAAAGCGUUAUGGAGUGGUUUUAGAUGGGCUCACGGCCUAUCAGCUUGUUGGUGAGGUAAUGGCUUACCAAGGCGACGACGGGUAGCCGGCCUGAGAGGGUGACCGGCCACACUGGGACUGAGACACGGCCCAGACUCCUACGGGAGGCAGCAGUGGGGAAUAUUGCACAAUGGGCGCAAGCCUGAUGCAGCGACGCCGCGUGAGGGAUGACGGCCUUCGGGUUGUAAACCUCUGUUAGCAUCGAAGAAGCGAAAGUGACGGUAGGUGCAGAGAAGCGCCGAAAACUAC